UACGUAGGGGGCUAGCGUUGUCCGGAUUUAUUGGGCCUAAAGCAUCCGUAGCCGGCCUUACAAGUCCUCCGUUAAAUCCAGCUGCUUAACAGAUGGGCUGCGGAGGAUACUAUAAGACUAGGAGGCAGGAGAGGCAAGCGGUACUCAGUGGGUAGGGGUAAAAUCCGUUGAUCCAUUGAAGACCACCAGUGGCGAAGGCGGCUUGCCAGAAUGCGCUCGACGGUGAGGGAUGAAAGCUGGGGGAGCAAACCGG
RNAcentral lists this ribosomal RNA (253 nucleotides) under uncultured bacterium. Its description in RNAcentral is "partial 16S ribosomal RNA". It matches the Rfam family "Bacterial small subunit ribosomal RNA", at positions 524 to 776 of the family's 1533-position model. The record is from RNAcentral.